RNAcentral lists this non-coding RNA (30 nucleotides) under Mus musculus (house mouse). The record is from RNAcentral. Lineage: Eukaryota; Metazoa; Chordata; Mammalia; Rodentia; Muridae.
UGCCAGAACAAGGAGUUUGUUCCCUGAACC